RNAcentral lists this ribosomal RNA (460 nucleotides) under uncultured bacterium. RNAcentral's name for it is "partial 16S ribosomal RNA". It matches the Rfam family "Bacterial small subunit ribosomal RNA", at positions 338 to 795 of the family's 1533-position model. The record is from RNAcentral.
CCUACGGGGGGCUGCAGUGAGGAAUAUUGGUCAAUGGGCGCGAGCCUGAACCAGCCAAGUAGCGUGAAGGAUGACUGCCCUACGGGUUGUAAACUUCUUUUAUAAAGGAAUAAAGUGAGGCGCGUGUGCCUUUUUGUAUGUACUUUAUGAAUAAGGAUCGGCUAACUCCGUGCCAGCAGCCGCGGUAAUACGGAGGAUCCGAGCGUUAUCCGGAUUUAUUGGGUUUAAAGGGAGCGUAGAUGGGUUGUUAAGUCAGUUGUGAAAGUUUGCGGCUCAACCGUAAAAUUGCAAUUGAUACUGGGAGUCUUGAGUACAGGUGAGGUAGGCGGAAUUCGCGGUGUAGCGGUGAAAUGCUUAGAUAUCACGAAGAACACUGAUGGCGAAGGCAGCUUACUAAACUGCCACUGACAUUGAUGCUCGAAGGUGUGGGUAUCAAACAGGAUUAGAUACCCGUGUAGUC